Molecule: long non-coding RNA, 1506 nt
Organism: Magnolia sinica
Lineage: Eukaryota; Viridiplantae; Streptophyta; Magnoliopsida; Magnoliales; Magnoliaceae
Exons: 4
Source: RefSeq, a predicted model, not a curated record
UUUCUUCUGUCGUUCCUUUGCUAAUUUUAGAGGAUCUGGCAGGAUUAAGUAACACCUGGCCACUUGUGAUGUAUUUAUGAGCUGCUGAGUUGGACACAACUUUUUUGGAGACAUAUCAGCAGUGUUAUUCAGAAUAUCCUUAAAUGUAUUGUUUUUUCUUGUUUUGUUAUUACUUGUAUAACAUUUGUUUAGUUUUGUUAUAUGUUUACACAGUUACAUACAUUUUUCUGCUGUGUGUGCUGUGCAACUUACAUGAAUACACUUUGCUGAUAGUAGGGAAGCAAGUAGUAGGUUUGAUGCUCUUGCCAAAGUGGGAACCAGAUGGGGUCGUUUUCUAUUGUGGACUCAAUUCUUUGUGUUGUAUUGUAUUUGUAUCUGUGUUGCUUCCUGUAUUCUUUAUUUCUUUUCCUCAUAAAUAAAUAUCUAUCCUUUUAAAAAAGAGCUUUUCAAAAUUAGUGCAUGACUGUGCCGAUGCAUUGAUUUUUUAUCAGGAGACGUGCAGGUGUGUUGAUAAGUUGCGUAUUCCAGGAUUUCCACUUCUGAGGCCUUGCUUGCAUGCAAUUGUUACUGCAUGAGCUGCAGGGAUUGAAAGCAUGAAAACGACAUGUUUAUUUUAUUUCUAUUUAACCAUAACAUGCAAGAGGCCAUUCUUUGACAGCAUAAACAAGGCAAGUUCUUUUGUUCUAAUGCGACAAAAGUUGAAUGCAUUUGAUUUUGAGCACAUUAGUAAGACCCAAAGUUAUGAACUAUUGAUGAACAUUACACAAGAUUUAAGAAUAAAAUAGUGUACUUCAGAAAUAGAUGUUAUCCAUUACAAUUUGUAAAUGUCCUGCAGAACUCCUAUUGAUAAACAUUACACCUGAUUUAAGAAAAAAAACUGUGUACUUCAGUAGUAGAUGUUGUCCAUUACAAUUUGUAAAUGUCCUGCACAACUCCUUUUGGUUUCUGCUUUGACUUUGCAUGUUAAGCCUCUCACCUAAGCUAGCUACUGUUUUCUUCAUAUGUAUUUUUCCAAGGUCACAGAUCCUUCAUCUGCAUAAUGUCCAUUAUUUUUCUUCUUCUGCGUUAAUAUGUGAGCAGACUGUCCUGGCCUGGGUCCUUGACUAUUUUAGCGAAAUUCUCAGAACUAGUUUUUACAGUGAUCGAGAGUAAAUUGUUUGCUUUGUUGUCCAUUUUCUGUUAUUCACUGGAUAUUUUCAUUUUCUGUUUGAAUGUUUAGACAAUUCCUGGAGUGGAGAGUUUUACAGAAUCUGUUCGCGGUCUUCCCCAAAUGGUUAUCUAGAGCAUAAAUAAGUGUGACGUGGACAUCCGAAGAGAACUAUUUAGCAGUAUAUUGCUUGCUGGUGGCACAGCAUGAAUGCAACAGUUGAAGGAGCGGCUUGACAAAGAUUUGAUAGAGGAGUCGCCGCAAGCUGCACGAGUUAAGGUCCUGGCAAGUGGUAAUGCAAUUGAAAGGCGAUUCAGGUCUGAUUUGUUUUCUUAUGUCUGUAUGUAUUCGUUUUUCCA